This 202-nucleotide ribosomal RNA is filed under the name Clostridioides difficile. RNAcentral describes it as "partial 16S ribosomal RNA". It matches the Rfam family "Bacterial small subunit ribosomal RNA", at positions 945 to 1146 of the family's 1533-position model. The record is from RNAcentral. Lineage: Bacteria; Bacillati; Bacillota; Clostridia; Peptostreptococcales; Peptostreptococcaceae.
UUUAAUUCGAAGCAACGCGAAGAACCUUACCUAAGCUUGACAUCCCAAUGACAUCUCCUUAAUCGGAGAGUUCCUUUCGGGGACAUUGGUGACAGGUGGUGCAUGGUUGUCGUCAGCUCGUGUCGUGAGAUGUUGGGUUAAGUCCCGCAACGAGCGCAACCCUUGUCUUUAGUUGCCAUCAUUAAGUUGGGCACUCUAGAGA